This 70-nucleotide transfer RNA is filed under the name Agrilinae sp. 2 ACP-2013. RNAcentral's name for it is "tRNA-Val". The record is from RNAcentral. Lineage: Eukaryota; Metazoa; Arthropoda; Insecta; Coleoptera; Buprestidae.
GAAUUAGAGCUUGAUUAGGAAGUUUUUUAUUUACAUUAAAAAGUUGUUGUGCAAUUCAAUAUAAUUUGAU